UACAGAGGGUGCUAGCGUUGUUCGGAAUCAUUGGGCGUAAAGGGCGUGUAGGCGGUUUGUUAAGUCAUGUGUGAAAGCCCCCGGCUCAACCGGGGAACGACGCAUGAAACUGGCAAGCUAGAGUACCGAAGAGGGGGGUGGAAUUCCCGGUGUAGCGGUGAAAUGCGUAGAUAUCUGGAGGAACACCGGUGGCGAAGGCGGCAUCCUGGACCGGCAUUGACGCUGAGGCGCGAAAGCCAGGGGAGCAAACGGG
Molecule: ribosomal RNA, 253 nt
Filed under: uncultured bacterium
Lineage: Bacteria
Description: partial 16S ribosomal RNA
Rfam family: Bacterial small subunit ribosomal RNA
Source: RNAcentral